This 644-nucleotide long non-coding RNA is filed under the name Cyanistes caeruleus (blue tit). RNAcentral's name for it is "lncRNA (ENSCCEG00000006736.1)". The record is from RNAcentral. Lineage: Eukaryota; Metazoa; Chordata; Aves; Passeriformes; Paridae.
AGCAGUGUGGGAUCGCCUGGCGCAGGUCCAGCUCCGAGGCUCUUCCUCUUUCCAACGUCACUCUGGUGUGACCAGACACGUGGAGGGACCAAACAGCAAGUGGAUCAUGGCCUUUUUCUUCUUUUAUAACAAGUAGUUCAAUUCUUAUUGUUUUAAAUGUAGGAAGAAGUGACUUUUUAUCUCGGAGAAAAAAAAUGUAUAAUAUUCCUACAUCUAAGCUUACUAAAUGGAAAGGAAAAAUCUCCUGCAGUUUUCAGAAAACGAGUCAAAGAAGGAUGUUCCAAGUGAUGCAGUGAGACAACAAGCACAACAAGCUUUAAGGAGUACAAGCUCAGGACAGAGAAAAGGUUUCUUCGUGGCACUGUCAUUUCUGCCGUCCUCAUACCAAGGAGUUGACUGCACUACUUUAUGGCUUCCCUACCCUUCCAUCAACCUUGGGAUGUUUAUUUUUCUUCAAACAUAGCUGUUUGCAGCAUGCUAACAAGAACUGAAGAUCUUUUAACACUGCUAUUUGUUUACUGAAGACAUCAAAGCCUUUUUUUCCACGAGCCCCCUUUGAGCCGGUACAAUCUGCAAGCAGCCGUGCAACACCGAGGUGUGUUUUGUACCGCCAAAAUAAAACCACAGUACACUGUGAAGAUACA